GGAAUCUCCAUGUCCAAGUUCUUGAGCAAAUCCAUAUGCUAUAUAUGUUUUUGGACCCAGAUCUGGCUUCAGUAUACCAUCUGGAAGUUUGGAAGCAACAUUAAGAAUACCAGAAAGGGGAUGUGUGUAUUCUUUGUACGGCAAGGCUCUAAUGAAUUCUGCUCCAUGGCGUGGCAACCGCUUCUCGAAUUCUGUAGAUGGUGGCCAGUCCUUAAGCUUAAGCAUUUCGGGCCACGAAUCUGGGUGUGCUCGACCUUCAACAUAACCCCUAAAAAAUUGACGAAUAUUUAUAUCCACCUCACACCAAUCACAACAAUCAACUGCUGUCACCAUCAAAUCUGAUGAGCCCUUCUUGAUUGCUAUAUUACGGAAGGCACGCCACAUCACCAUUGGUUCCCAGCUUAAUCCAGAUGUUAAUUCAAGAACGUUGCUUACAAUAACAGGUUCUCCCAUUCUCCAAUGUUUCUGGAAGUGCUCCAGGUGCCCUUCCUGUAUGUCACUUGAAGGGCAGAACAAAUAAUUGUCAUCAGAAUCUGAUCUGGAAGCUGC
Molecule: unclassified non-coding RNA, 549 nt
Filed under: Hevea brasiliensis (rubber tree)
Lineage: Eukaryota; Viridiplantae; Streptophyta; Magnoliopsida; Malpighiales; Euphorbiaceae
Source: RNAcentral